UCGGACGUAGUGCACGGUUCACACCCGCUUUCCAUUACAACGCGGCCUCGAAAAUAUGCGGUGGGAAACCCGGGUUCGACUCCCGGCGUCCGAA
Non-coding RNA from Mycena epipterygia, 94 nucleotides. The record is from the annotation of a GenBank genome assembly. Lineage: Eukaryota; Fungi; Basidiomycota; Agaricomycetes; Agaricales; Mycenaceae.